GAUGAAGAACGUAGCGAAAUGCGAUACGUAAUGUGAAUUUCAAAUUCAGUGAAUCAUCGAGUCUUUGAACGCACAUUGCGCCCCCUGGUAUUCCGGGGGGCAUGCCUGUCCGAGCGUCAUUGCUGCCCUCAAGCACGGCUUGUGUGUUGGGCCCCGUCCUCCGAUCCCGGGGGACGGGCCCGAAAGGCAGCGGCGGCACCGCGUCCGGUCCUCGAGCGUAUGGGGCUUUGUCACCCGCUCUGUAGGCCCGGCCGGCGCUUGCCGAUCAACCCAAAUUUUUAUCCAGGUUGACCUCGGAUCAGGUAGGGAUACCCGCUGAACUUAAGCAUAUCAAUAAGCGGAGGAU
RNAcentral lists this unclassified non-coding RNA (346 nucleotides) under soil metagenome. RNAcentral describes it as "partial contains 5.8S ribosomal RNA, internal transcribed spacer 2, and large subunit ribosomal RNA". The stretch from base 1 to 119 matches the Rfam family "5.8S ribosomal RNA", at positions 35 to 154 of the family's 154-position model. The record is from RNAcentral.